GUUGCGUUGAUAAAAGUAUUGUUUUUGUACUCUCAAGAUUCAAUAAUCUUGCAGAAGCUACAAAGAUAAGGCUUCAUGCCGAAAUCAACACCCUGUCAUUUUAUGGCAGGGUGUUUU
Molecule: unclassified non-coding RNA, 117 nt
Filed under: Streptococcus thermophilus
Lineage: Bacteria; Bacillati; Bacillota; Bacilli; Lactobacillales; Streptococcaceae
Also listed under: 1 other name
Description: RNA (78-MER) from Streptococcus thermophilus (PDB 6RJA, chain G)
Source: RNAcentral